Carcharodon carcharias (great white shark) is the source of this 152-nucleotide small nuclear RNA. RefSeq annotates it as U12 minor spliceosomal RNA. The record is from RefSeq and is a predicted model, not a curated record. The transcript has a single exon. NCBI's taxonomy places the organism in Eukaryota, Metazoa, Chordata, Chondrichthyes, Lamniformes, Lamnidae.
AUCCCUUAAACUAAUGAGUAAGGAAAAUAACGGUCCCGGGUGAUGCCCGGGUCCUCGCCGCCUCGUGCGAGAGGAAUUUUUGAGCAGGUAAAGUUCGCCCUGCAGGUGACCCGCCUACUUUGUGGGAUGCCGCGGCGCAUUGAUCUGACCGG